CUACGUGCCAGCAGCCGCGGUAAUACGGAGGGUGCGAGCGUUAAUCGGAAUAACUGGGCGUAAAGGGCACGCAGGCGGACUUUUAAGUGAGGUGUGAAAGCCCCGGGCUUAACCUGGGAAUUGCAUUUCAUACUGGGUCGCUAGAGUACUUUAGGGAGGGGUAGAAUUCCACGUGUAGCGGUGAAAUGCGUAGAGAUGUGGAGGAAUACCGAAGGCGAAGGCAGCCCCUUGGGAAUGUACUGACGCUCAUGUGCGAAAGCGUGGGGAGCAAACAGGAUUAGAUACCCUGGUAGUCCACGCCGUAAACGAUGAGUGCUAGGUGUUAGACCCUUUCCGGGGUUUAGUGCCGCAGCUAACGCAUUAAGCACUCCGCCUGGGGAGUACGACCGCAAGGUUGAAACUCAAAGGAAUUGACGGGGGCCCGCACAAGCGGUGGAGCAUGUGGUUUAAUUCGAUGGUACGCGAGGAACCUUACCUGGGUU
This 482-nucleotide ribosomal RNA is filed under the name uncultured bacterium. RNAcentral describes it as "bacterial SSU rRNA". It matches the Rfam family "Bacterial small subunit ribosomal RNA", at positions 501 to 981 of the family's 1533-position model. The record is from RNAcentral.